UAUUUAUUUAUUUUGAUAAGACAUGCGUAUAUUCAAUAUGUCGAAACAGUCUCAACAAAUAGUAGCGUCUCUAAUAGAAUACUUUGGAAGAUAACGUGAGAAUUGAGGACCUUUACUUCCACUAACUGCUGUUAAAGACGUAAGUUAUAUUAAUUGUGUUAAUUACCUAUCCUACAUCUACAAAAACUGAGCAAAAAUCAUACAGCGAAUAUAUAAAUAUCGGGUUAGAUUAGAUAUUUGUCGAUUGUUGAUUUCAGAGGGUUGCAGAUCUCUUGAAGUCGAGUAUUACUACUAUAAACCGUAUUGCGACUGAUUCUAAUAGAGAGGUGAAGUAUUCAGCAAUCCAUCGAAACAGUGGUAGACGGGUGAAACCUGUGGUAGAUAUUGAUGAUUUCGAUCAAACUGCUAUUCGAAAUGUGAUCUAUGAUAUGUACAAAAUCGGAAAACAUAUCAAUUUGCAAACUUUGAAAGAUGAACUGGAAGAACGUGAUCUCUUCAAAUGUUGUGAGACAUAUUUAUAGAAAAUUCUGAAGAAAAUUAGUUUUACAUACAAAAAAGAUGAUCUACGUUAUGGUUUGAUGGAGCUGCCUGGUAUUGCAAUGAAACAUAUACAUUUUCACAUGACUACAUGAAACUUAAGAUUGUAUUCUUGGAUGAAACUUGGGUAUUCAAAGAUGGUACCAUUGGGCGACCCUGGCAAAAUUCAAAUGUGAAGAGUGAUGGUGCAAGAUAUAUUGUGAUUCAUGCUGGAUGCAGAACCGGGUUUAUUAAUAGAGCAGACCUGAUUAUUUGUUCAAAAACGAAGAAUUAUGAUUACCACGGAGAAAUGAACCAACACAGUUUUCUACAUUGGUUUGAAUAACAACUUUUAAUAAAUUUAGAAGAGCCUUCAGUUAUAGUCCUGGAUAAUGCAAGUUAUUACAGCA
Long non-coding RNA from Leptinotarsa decemlineata (Colorado potato beetle), 926 nucleotides. NCBI's taxonomy places the organism in Eukaryota, Metazoa, Arthropoda, Insecta, Coleoptera, Chrysomelidae. The record is from RefSeq and is a predicted model, not a curated record.